GGAAUUGAGAGCGUAUGGUAUAUUCUACAUCCUAUAGAAAUUGAUUGAGAAAUUAUAAAAAAACCAUUGAAGAUUUACUUGUAGCCUGAGCUUUAUAUGAGGUGAAAGCCUCUUAUGGUCUCUAUAAUGAUUAUGGGAAAACUUACAGUUGAGGUAUGUGUCUUUCUCUUUUGUAUGUAUUUUUUGUUUGGAAACUAUGAAGCUCAACUUCAUUGUUUCUACUACAUCGAGAUGGUCUUAACAUUGAACCAUGUGAUCCAUAACCAUUCCUUGCUUCCAUCAAGUAGAACUAUCGUGGGUUUUGUACUUAAGAGUAGGCCAUGAAAUAGUUUGUGAACAUGUAAACCAAAUGCAAGCUAUGCUUCCAGAGCUUUUCUGCUCAUUGAGCUACUUGGUGUUACCAUGGGAAGGAUGAAUGGUGUUAACUGUGUUGCUUUGGUCCUGUCUCAGUGGGAACAAUUUAUCCAUGCAUGCGGUAUCGAACAAGCUCCCUCCCUUCUGUUGUCAACCAAUCUAAAAAUGUCGGUCUUAAAACAACACCCUAACCCCUGAAAUACUAUAUAGCCCAUGUGAGCCGGAAAUGAAGUUGGGUUGGGAAAUUUUAGCAAGUUGAAAUAUGACAUGCCUGUGUACUUGUUGGAUUCCAUGGAAUCCAAAGGUUGUGUGAUUCUCUGUAUUAAGUCUGGUUCAUUAUGCUUCUGCUUGGUGCCUGGUUCUCAAAGUUGAAGAAUACCUGGCAUCUUAUUAGUACCAAACCCUGGCUUUUCCACCAUUGAUUUCUUAACGAACAACCCUACUUACUAACAUCUUGAACUUGUAUGAAACAUAACAGGUGGAUGGUUUUUGUAGUUCUACUUUUGG
RNAcentral lists this long non-coding RNA (861 nucleotides) under Vitis vinifera (wine grape). RNAcentral's name for it is "long non-coding RNA (VVIN_LNC002823)". The record is from RNAcentral. Lineage: Eukaryota; Viridiplantae; Streptophyta; Magnoliopsida; Vitales; Vitaceae.